GAAAUGCGAUAAGUAAUGUGAAUUGCAGAAUUCCGUGAAUCAUCGAAUCUUUGAACGCACAUUGCGCCCCCUGGUAUUCCGGGGGGCAUGCCUGUCCGAGCGUCAUUGCAACCCCUCAAGCACGGCUUGUGUGUUGGGCCAGCGUCCCCUGGACGGGCCCGAAAGGCAGUGGCGGUAUCGUGCUCCGGUGCCCGAGCGUAUGGGGCUUUGUCACCCGCUCCGGAGGCCCGGCCGGUACUUUUAGCCGAAGCUCACCUAGAAGAAAUCUUCUUUUUUCGUGGUUGACCUCGGAUCAGGUAGGGAUACCCGCUGAACUUAA
RNAcentral lists this unclassified non-coding RNA (319 nucleotides) under uncultured Eurotiomycetes. RNAcentral's name for it is "sequence contains ITS1". The stretch from base 1 to 105 matches the Rfam family "5.8S ribosomal RNA", at positions 50 to 154 of the family's 154-position model. RNAcentral also lists the same sequence under 2 other names. Lineage: Eukaryota; Fungi; Ascomycota; Eurotiomycetes. The record is from RNAcentral.